CAGUAAAUAGUUUAUUUUAAAAUAUCAAUUUUGGGAAUUGAAGAUUUAUUAAUGUAAUAAUUUCUGA
RNAcentral lists this transfer RNA (67 nucleotides) under Eleutherocaulis alte. Its description in RNAcentral is "tRNA-Pro". The record is from RNAcentral. Lineage: Eukaryota; Metazoa; Mollusca; Gastropoda; Systellommatophora; Veronicellidae.